UACGUAGGGGGCAAGCGUUGUCCGGAAUCAUUGGGCGUAAAGCGCGCGUAGGCGGCCCGGUAAGUCCGUUGUGAAAGUCAAAGGCUCAACCUUUGAAUGCCGACGGAUACUGCCGGGCUAGAGUCCGGAAGAGGCGAGUGGAAUUCCUGGUGUAGCGGUGGAAUGCGCAGAUAUCAGGAAGAACACCCGUGGCGAAGGCGGCUCUCUGGGACGGUACUGACGCUGAGACGCGAAAGCGUGGGGAGCGAACGGG
RNAcentral lists this ribosomal RNA (253 nucleotides) under uncultured bacterium. RNAcentral's name for it is "partial 16S ribosomal RNA". It matches the Rfam family "Bacterial small subunit ribosomal RNA", at positions 524 to 776 of the family's 1533-position model. The record is from RNAcentral.